RNAcentral lists this ribosomal RNA (481 nucleotides) under uncultured bacterium. RNAcentral's name for it is "partial 16S ribosomal RNA". It matches the Rfam family "Bacterial small subunit ribosomal RNA", at positions 28 to 507 of the family's 1533-position model. The record is from RNAcentral.
GAUGAACGCUGGCGGCGUGCUUAACACAUGCAAGUCGAACGAAGCAUUUAAGACAGAUUACUUCGGUUUGAAGUCUUUUAUGACUGAGUGGCGGACGGGUGAGUAACGCGUGGGUAACCUGCCUCAUACAGGGGGAUAGCAGCUGGAAACGGCUGGUAAUACCGCAUAAGCGCACAGUACCACACGGUACAGUGUGAAAAACUCCGGUGGUAUGAGAUGGACCCGCGUCUGAUUAGCUUGUUGGCGGGGUAACGGCCCACCAAGGCGACGAUCAGUAGCCGACCUGAGAGGGUGACCGGCCACAUUGGGACUGAGACACGGCCCAGACUCCUACGGGAGGCAGCAGUGGGGAAUAUUGCACAAUGGAGGAAACUCUGAUGCAGCGACGCCGCGUGAGUGAAGAAGUAGUUCGCUAUGUAAAGCUCUAUCAGCAGGGAAGAUAGUGACGGUACCUGACUAAGAAGCUCCGGCUAAAUACGUG